Molecule: ribosomal RNA, 354 nt
Filed under: uncultured bacterium
Lineage: Bacteria
Description: partial 16S ribosomal RNA
Rfam family: Bacterial small subunit ribosomal RNA
Source: RNAcentral
AUACGUAGGUGGCAAGCGUUGUCCGGAAUUAUUGGGCGUAAAGCGCGCGCAGGUGGUUCCUUAAGUCUGAUGUGAAAGCCCCCGGCUCAACCGGGGAGGGUCAUUGGAAACUGGGGAACUUGAGUGCAGAAGAGGAUAGUGGAAUUCCAAGUGUAGCGGUGAAAUGCGUAGAGAUUUGGAGGAACACCAGUGGCGAAGGCGACUGUCUGGUCUGUAACUGACACUGAGGCGCGAAAGCGUGGGGAGCAAACAGGAUUAGAUCCCCUGGUAGUCCACGCCGUAAACGAUGAGUGCUAAGUGUUGGGGGGUUUCCGCCCCUCAGUGCGGCAGCUAACGCAUUAAGCACUCCGCCUG